UUCUGUUUGUGGAAAAUGGGAUAAUGCAUGUUGAUACCGAUGUAAGCAAAAUAAUGAAAUAAGUAAAGAACAAGAGAAAGAGAUUUUUAUUGAUUGAUUCCAAGUGAAUGAGAGCUGAUGAAGUAUACUAUAUUAGGAAUAGUUACAGUAUACAAACUGUAACUAUUCCUAAUAUCACGCCCACCAAUACAAUUGUACAAAUUACAUGUGAUAAACUAGAAUCUCAUAUGUUAUGCUAGUAGAGAAUCAUAUGUCAAAUGGAAAAUUCCGAGUAUCUCAGAGUUCGUUGGUGUUGAAAGAAUGACGAUUCAGGUGCUUGAUCCGAAGUUAAUUUUCAG
RNAcentral lists this long non-coding RNA (338 nucleotides) under Nicotiana benthamiana. RNAcentral describes it as "long non-coding RNA (NBEN_LNC042678)". The record is from RNAcentral. Lineage: Eukaryota; Viridiplantae; Streptophyta; Magnoliopsida; Solanales; Solanaceae.